UGGAUUUUAGCCCACCCUCUUCCUUUCCAGUCUGUUCGACUAAAAUUGCUGUCCUUGACCAGAAGCCCACGAUCAUUCCUGCACCAGAAAACAACUGUGCUUCUCCUCCUGUGGCUGUCUUCACCACUUUCCCACCUCAGUUCUGCUGUUUUACUGUGUCAUUGAUCUUUCUGUCUCUCCUAAGCCAGGGUUGUGUAAAAGAUAGACUGGGCUCUAGUGGCAGAUCCCUGGGUGAUUUUGCAGUAGAUUGGCAAGGGUUUCUGACUCCCGACUGUUUAAAUAUAGCAACACAAAAUUAGUUCCCACCCAAAAUAGGGCACUGAGAAGAAACAAGCUAAAUAGGGGUUAUGUGUGAAAGUACUGUAACAGGUUAUUUCCUGUUAUUGAAAAUAAAUUCCUAGGCUCAGAACAUGCUCAGAGGCUCCCUUGUUCUUUAAUUCUGCCGGCUAUGUUUUUCGCUUUGGUUGGUGAAUCUUUGGGUUCUAGUAUAGUAGUAGUAGUAGUAGUAGUAGUAGUAGUAGUAGUAAUAUCUGGCAAGUCUGAAGUCUGCCCAGCCCUGCUAUACAGCUUCUGGAAUUGAUGUAUGAGUGUGUUUAUGUUUAAAUAUAUAAAUUAAAAUGGUAUGGAAGAUUUCAUAUGCUGUGAAUUCACUGUGUCUCAUUGUGGAGUUUGAAAAGAAGACAAUGGUGAUGUUGACAUAUUGGAGAAUAAGAAUCCAUAAAAUGAGAUUAGUAAAGCGUUAAGACCCAGUACGUAAUUCAGUUUCCAUAGUUGAUCAGGGUUUUGUUGAGAAUGCGUAUACAUUUCAUUUAUUAAUUACUUUUAUAAAAAAAAAUUUAUAAGCCACCAAUUCAUAAGGAAAAUGUCAAAGUAGUUCGCAACAACUGUACAUUAAACCAUACCAUAAAAACCAUACAAAAAAAGUUAAAAUCAGAUUACUGUUGUGGAAAGGUGUAUUCUUAUUUGCAUGCAUAAGCCUAAUGGGACAGGAAAGUUUUCAGCAGGUGCUUCAAAGUUGAAACAGGAGAAGCCUGCUGAACUUCUACUAGCUGAGUAUUCCACAGGACAGGGCUGACUCUAAAGGCUUGGUUCCUUGUUCUCAAAUAAUCCUCGCUGACUCAGAGAACAACCAGCAACAUCUGUGGCAGAUGAUCCUAGUGAUCAAACUGGAAUGUAAGGGUCAGGCAGUCCCUGAGAUACCCAGGACCUGAUCUGUUCAAGGCUUCAUAAAUUAAUACAAGAUUUCAUAUUUUUCUCUACAACGAAGGACGAGAAGAAUUCCUCCUGCAUGUUUGUUUUUAAUUUAGGCUUCUCUUAUUUUUGAAGCCGCUAUUAGAUUUUCUGACCCUUGCACUCAUCAGAUCAGUGGUCGGCACAAAAGAGGAGCCAACCAAAUAGAGAAAUUAGCUUUACAGAAACUUCUUCCUUUUGGGGGUGUAGGGAAGUGAAGUUCCAUUUGGGGGGGGGAUAGAAGUCUCCCAUUGCCCAUGAAAUUGUCUGAACCUCUGACCCUGAAGCUCCUUGCAUGUGUGUGAAGAAGUCUGCCCUAACUGUACAUGUUUCCCAAUUUUGACUCUGUCCUGCUACUGCUAAAUAGGCAGCGUUUCCUUCAUUUCAUCUCCACAGUUCAUAUGUAAGAUACAGGAGCGUUGCUCCUGUUCCAUACAAAGUGAAAGACAUCACCCUAAUAUGAUACCCCUGUGAUGUUCUAAUGAAUUCUUGACUAUUGAUUAUUCUCCCCGUUUGCUUUUCCUGUGAGUAUUUGUGUUGGCUGCAAGUAAUUGUGGUUGUGCUUAUCUCACAACAAGUGCAGCAAAUGAACUGCUUUCUUUGGGAUAAUUAGCUUUUCUGUGGAAUUUACCAUCCUGAAUGCUGUUUCCAAAUUAAUUUCAGUGUUCUUUUCCUAUAAUCUCUGCUGGUUAUUUUAGCUCCUGCUGGGGAAAGAGGCAGGGAGAUAGAAUAGGAUAAAGCUUCAUAGUAAUGAGGAGAUAAUUUAAUGGUGUGUGAUGUACUGUUCUAGAGAGGAAACUAGAUGUUCACGGGUGUGAUUUCUCUUAGAAUUCCAUUAAUUUUCCUUUGUCUGUGGAUUUCUUUGUUGUUCACCUAGGACUCUGGGUUGUUGUUGUUGUUUAAUCGUUUAGUCGUGUCCGACUCUUCGUGACCCCAUGGACCAGAGCACGCCAGGCACUCCUGUCUUGCACUGCCUCCCGCAGUUUGGUCAAACUCAUGUUCGUAGCUUCGAGAACACUGUCCAACCAUCUCGUCCUCUGUCGUCCCCUUCUCCUAGUGCCCUCAAUCUUUCCCAACAUCAGGGUCUUUUCCAAGGAUUCUUCUCUUCUCGUGAGGUGGCCAAAGUAUUGGAGCCUCAGCUUCACGAUCUGUCCUUCCAGUGAGCACUCAUUCACCCCAUUAACUUAUUUAUCCUGGUUUGUUGAAAUACUUCAUCUGAACUAGAGAGAAGUGUGUGUGCUUUUGGCAAAUUCUUUUUAGCUCUUGUAGAAAUGUACUCUUCAUCCUAUAUAGUUGUAGAGAAAGCAAAGUAGCUAGUUUUACUCACAAUUUCUGCUUUCUUCCAUAAGUCUAUAUUGGGCAGCUUAAAAAGUAACUUACCAUUGAAGCCAACACUUGUUGAGCAAGGGAUGAGAAAACCUGCCUCGGAUGCGCUGGAGUUAACAACCUAGAAAUUUGAGUUUUAAAAUGUCAUACUGGAAAGGUUGUGUGACCUGGUGUUGCAAAGGAGCCAAGAGACUGGAUUAUGAAUCAAUAGUAUAUCAAUCUUAAUUGACGCAUCUACUAUGAACGCAUCACAUGAUUUUAGCCAAGCUACUUUCAACUUCAGGAUAAUGCCAAUUUACUCAACAUGGUUGUUGUAAGGAUUGUAACAGGAGAAUUUGUACGAAGCACUCUGAACACCCGAAAGCAACAUGUAAAACUAUUAUUGCGUAUUUAUAAACAUUGUGCAAUAUAUAGAAAUGUGUUACUGUUAUUGUUAUUGUUGCUUUUAGUAAUAAUCAAAUAAGGGGGGAAACAAUUCGCCCUAUUUGAGGAUAAAGGGAAAAGGCAGUGGUUUUCUCUCAAGUGCGGAUAGGACACACUGGCAAACAGCCUGGCUUCUCCAGGCAGCAGACAGGGUCAAAAUUAAUGACAUCAUCCAGAAGGAGGGGGCUCCUACUUGCCCAGACUAGCCUUGCCUCAGUGACAGAAGUCAAAGGGCUCGCAUUUGUCUGUUCAGGUGCGUGUACCUGAACCAUCCCACAGAAUGCACGGAGAGUAGAAUUUUGUUGCUUAAAUUCCUUCACUUUGCGGUGGAAUGUGGGCAGACUGCCUCACUCUUAGUUGUUUUGGAGUCGUGCACCCAAGCGAGAGAGCCAUUGUGGUGUAGGGGUUAAGAGUGGUAGACUCGUAAUCUGGGGAACCGGGUUCGUGUCUCUGCUCCUCCACAUGCAGCUGCUGGGUGACCUUGGGCUAGUCACACUUCUCUGAAUUCUGUCAGUCCCACCCACCUCACAGGGUGUUUGUUGUGGGGGAGGAAGGGAAAGGAGAAUGUUAGCCGCUUUGAGACUCCUUCGGGUAGUGAUAAAGCGGAAUAUCAAAUCCAAACUCUUCUACUCGUUGACUCUUUGGGUAUUGCCUCUGUUCUGUAUUGUGGUGUUUUGCUUUAAACUGUUAUGGCUGGCAGCCUUCUCAGAAAUAUAGUUGGUUACUUUUCUUGAAUUUGUGCUCUGCAUGGAGGGGUCUUCUUCUGGCACUGCUCUAGCAUGGUUGAGGCAAGCAGGAGCCAACUCAUCCUGGAUGAUGCCAUCGGUUUUAAUCCUGCCUGCUCCUAGGCGGAACCAUCCCAUUUCUCAGGCUAACCUACUUCCACUAGGAAGAAUUAGAAUUUACAGAUAAGUGACAAAACCCCACCCUUUCAUUUAUAUGCAAGCCAGUUUAGGGUAAAUAAUCCCUUGACUAUAAGAGCAGUUCAGCCAAUGAGACGUAAUUCCUAGGGAUGUUUAGGACUCUGCUUCCUCAACGGAACGUGAUUUUCUGUGCUUCCUAAGUAAUGGUAGUUCAGUCAUGGUGGUGUUUUAUUUCAUUUGUAUCCCAUCCUCUCUGUAUAGUGUUUUAUUCUUGAAAUUAGCCCAUGAAGUAGGUUCAGUUGAGAGGUGGUAACUGGGCCUAAGGGGAGCUUUAUGCAUGACUCGGAAAAUGAAGCCAGGGUUUCCCUACCAUCCUGUCCUCUAUGUCAUCCCCGAAGUGCUGAAACUCGAGUCCUGUGGUCAGUUCUGGACAUCCAGAAGAAUGUGAAUAAGCUGAAAAGGAAUCGGAGGAGAGUGAACAAAUCAAUUGAGAUGCUUAGUAAGAACAUUAUUGGGGUUUUUUAUGUUUUACAAGACUACAGAAGAUAAAAUGAGUAGUUGUCUUAAAUCUAUGUAAAUCUCAAGGGAGGGGAUUAGCUUAAAUGUUAGGGAGAAGGCAGCUCGUGAGGCUUUUUCAGAUAAAAGCUAAGGCUAGGGGGAUCAUUUUGAUAUAGGAGAUCUAUGUUGAGUCAGGGGAUUAAAUCAGGUAACACUUGGGUCUAGAACCCCUGUAUUUGUUAAGGAGAAACUGAUGAGGUAAGGGCUUGCAUUAUUUACAUUUUUCUUUUACUGAAAUCAUUGUAGUCUACCAGUAAUCUACCAUUGUAGUCUGCCAGCGUGUCUUCAAAGUUACAAAGAGAGCAGAUGCAGGAUGUUUAAACAGUAAAGGUGUAAUAAAUAGAGAAUAAUAAUAUACUAAUAAUGUGUAUAAUAAUUGUUGUGAUGUAGCAGGAUUCUGAUAAACCUUCCAAUUUGCUGACGGAAUGGAGCUGUCAGAAUGUUUGCACACAAGCUUCUCUGAGUGAAGGGGAGAUUGCCUGUCUAUGAUUAAACCUUACAAAGGCCCAAGUGCCAGAAGAAAGUCUGUGUGGCAAGCCGAGGCCAGGAGGAGGUCCCAGGAAAUAGGGAAGCUAAGAGACAGGGAAAACCCAGUCAAGUUUACUGAAGUAAGUGUGCACUGAACUGAGAAAGAGGAACCUGCAGGGGGUGCAGAAGACAGAAGAUGGGUGGAGGAGAAGGAUAUGAGGCAAUGUCAACUCCUGACUUGAACUAGCUAGGCAGUUCCCAAAACCCACACUCAAAAUCUCUUAAACUGCCAUUAUUAAGUGUAAAGCAUCUAAAGUGUUUUGUGGCACUGUGCAGAGAUGAAAAAGCAAAACAUAACUCUGACCACAGACUUGAAUCCAAUAGACUUCAUACAAACGGAAAAAGUGACGGGGUGGGAAGAAGAAAAUGAUAAAAUUUAGACAGUGAUUCUUCACAAAGUUGCAUAAAUAGUUCAUGAUCAAGUGGAGUGGCCUCUAAGAGAGACUUUUCUGUGGGAUGAGGAAUGAAGUGCCGUUGGUCCCUGCCAAUCCCCUGGAGUGGGUCCUGCUGUCUCCCCUUCCUUCUCCCCUUGCUCUGUGAUUAUUUGUGCUAGUGUAAUGGGGCUGUCACACUGAAGCUAUUUGCUCUGCUUUUCCUUAACUGCCCGUGAUAAGGCAUGCUUGAGAAGACCCACUAUGGCAUGCUUUGAGAAACUCCGCAUGGCUUUGUAUUCUACCUUGACAAUACACUUGCAGUUCUGAGAAGAAUUCCCAUGUCACAAAGCACUAAAUCAAGAAAGAUGUUCUGAAUGUCCUUGGGUAGGGUUGGGCAAUAUCCAGUUUUCAACAUCGCAAUAUAUCACCAGCUAAACAUCAUGAUAUACUGAUAUAUCAUGCUCUCUGAAAAAGGAGCUAUGUAGAGGAAUUGGCUGGCUUCAUGGUUUUUCUCACAUCGUGAUUUUUGCAUCACACACACACACACACACAAACUGGGCAAGGUAUCGGUAUUUGAAGUUCACAUUGUGGUAACGAUUUCAUACUAUUCAGCAGGGCGAUAUAUCGCGAAUCACAAUGUGUGCAUGUGCUAUGUAAAAAAUCGCAAUGUGGGGAAAACCAUGAAGCUGGUCAUUGCUUGCCUCGUGAUUCCUUCUGCCCCUGUUGCUCUGUACUAUAAAAUAACAGUUGCAACAAUAUGUUAAAGGUAAGUAAAAAUGUCUCAGUUUUAGACCCCUAAGUAGCAGCAGUUUUUCAGGACAUUACUUUGUUCACCUCUACAUAAUUACAUCCUUGUUUCAGACAUCAUGAUAUAUGGGUAUAUCACAAUGUUUAGCUGGUGAUAUAUUGCGAUGUUGAAAGCCAGACAUCGCUCAGCCUUAACACACAUCAUGAUUCACAAUACAUUGCCAGGUCAAAAAUUAUGAAACCGAUUAUCACGAUAUGGAAUGCAAAACUGGUUUUGGAUAAUAUAUCGCCCAACCCUAUCCUUAGACACGAGGUGUGUUAAGAACAAGACUGCAAUGCGGCCAACUUAUGGCCCCAUCCAGCUUCAGUGCAAUGCAUGCAUUGAGGCCAUCAAAACAAUUAAUUAAUUGAUGCUUUGUUCCAUAGAAAUCCACUUUCCCCAUGCAGAUUCGGAUACUAUAAGGCAAAACCACAACAAAAAAUGAUAAAACAAAAACUAAACAGAAUAAGCCCCAUUGGAAAUCAAUGGGACUUCUGAGUAGACAUGCAUAGGAUUGUGUAUGUAAACCUUUUAGUAGCAGCAGCAGUCAUCAGGCAGUAUCCCCACACACCACGAUCCUGCUUUUUGAAAUGCAUGUGUAAUUGCUUAAACACAAUUAAUAUGAUGUGCAAUUCAGUGGCCAUUAUGUGGGUUUCUCUGCAGAGUCAGAACACAUAUCUACAUGCCCCCAGAAGGUUGUAUAACAGGCAGCUGGGAAAUGGAAUUAUCUUGAUUUCUUUAUUGGUGCAGAGGGAGGGAGCAGGGGGUGAGAGUAGGAUUUCCAAAUGAGACUGUGGCCGGUGCCACAUGUGGGUAACAGUUGUUUCCAGAAAGGAAAGAGGAAACAUAAUCUGGGUGGAUCGCUUAAGCAGUAAGCAUGGUGCAAUGCUAAUCAUGCUUCUUUCCUGCAAUCUCUGGCUUUCCUCAUCUUCUUCUCUUGUUGCCCAUCAAUCAUUGCAGGCUGGUACUUAAUCUUACUCUCCUGCCAAUGUACCUGGGAAGUGCCUUGCACAUUCUCAGCCAUGCUUGUUUUAUGCUUCAUUAUUUUUUAUCGGAAUUGUUUCAGAAAAUGCCACAUUUCUCUCUUUUUGGAGCAGGCAAAAAAAGGGGCUCAUAAACUCUCUGGUCUCACUCGAUGAAACCUAGCUGUUUCCAUUCACACAGACCCCUCCUGCUGAGCGUGCCUAAGUGCCUUUUUCUCUGCACUCCUGUUGGAGCACACACUUGACAUCUUCUUGUCUGACCCAUCGUGCAUCUGUGCGGAAGUGUCUCUGAUCUAGUUUCUUCUUUUCUGUGCAAGUUCCCAGGGCUGUGCUCUGUGAGUGACAUCUGCCUUGAUUCUGAUGACAAGAAUCAAAAGGGUAGGGUGUUGUUACAUGCUCAGUCAGUCUCUUUGGCUCAUCCUGAAAACUAUUGCUAUGGGCAGAAUGCUGAAAUGCUCCUUUCUCUGGAAGAUCACAAGCAUGCUUUCUAGGUCUGUGGGUGCAUUUGUGCAUACCUUGGAAUUGCAGCUGUAAUUGUCAUUGUAAGCCACCUUCCCAGUACAGGCGAAUUAAACAUUCCUUAUUUGUGUGAGGAAAUAUAUGCUUGCCACCUGACCAGAUGAGGGCAGUUUUGAACAGAAAGACCAAGGCUAAGGGGUUGAAACGCCAAUUGUCCAUUGCCCAUCGUUACCAUAUUGAAUAGGCAGUUCAGAAGUGUGAUUUCUUUGGAUGGAAACUGUGUGGUUUACGGGGAAACUUUCCUCAUCCUUUGCUAGAUUGGGAAUAUUUUGAGAAGAACAUAUCGCCAGUUUCCGUAUCUCCCAUGUCACAUUGGCUGCAUUUUUUU
Molecule: non-coding RNA, 7919 nt
Organism: Zootoca vivipara (common lizard)
Lineage: Eukaryota; Metazoa; Chordata; Lepidosauria; Squamata; Lacertidae
Source: RefSeq, a predicted model, not a curated record